GUCAGUAUUGGUGCGUGUAUGUGGUGGAAUGUGUGUAUAUCUCCCUGGCUCACUAUUCUCUCUCUCUCGCUCACUCUUGCACACACAAUUGCUGGGUUCUCAUGCUGUGCUGGUUCUACAACCAGAUUUGUAAGGUUUGGUGAUUGUAUCUGUUUUCAAGGUAGUUUGGAAGUGAUUGUGGCGACAAUGAAGACUCUGCUGUUGAUGAUUCUCGUCAGCCUGGCGGCUCUUCCUCCACCAGUGCAAGGUCUCCAGUGUUAUACGUGUGUGACUAGUGGGAACGACAUGACGUGUCUGAGCGACCCAGAACAUGUGGUCAACGGGUCGCCCAUCACAGACUGCAAGCAAGGUGAAAAUAUCUGCUGCACCAUCACUCGUCAGGAGUACCUGGAGACUCCAGGUGUGGCGCAGUCCUUUGGUCGAGGCUGCCAGGAAAACUGCAUGGAAGACGGCUUCUCAGAGAACCCAGACUCUACCCAGGUUAUCUACCUCACCUACUGCAAGACGCCCAAGUGUAACAAGGGUGAGGAAACGUACCUCUGGACGAUGGUGGUGGUGGAGAUGACAGCAACAAGGAUAACGUUAUUAAGAACAUCCCUGGCAACGUAGCUUCUCUCACUACCCCGCUGCCGCUUCUGAUGACUGCCGCAGCCUUGGCACUAGUUCCUGGGAACUAAUGCCAGAGCCUCCUUGUAAGCUAAGGCCUCGUCAACAACCUCCAGAGGAACUAAUGCCUUGUUACUUCACCAGCCAUCAACUCAUCAGCCUUCCCAGUGAGAGGACAAUGGGAGGCAAUCAGGUUUAGUCAAAAAAAAAAAAAAAGAAAAUAGUUGCAAUUCUCAGGUUCAGGAGCCUCUCACAGACAUUAAGUCACCUUAUAAAUCACAAUAUUUGACUUUAUUAGGUCAUCUUACUUUAAUUUUUAGAAAAAUUACUAUAUAAUAUCCUUUUAAAUAAUUUAAUAUUGUGUAUGAAAUGUAAAUAAACACUUAAUUGCCUAAUAAAAGAAUUACUGGCUUUAAAUAAAAUAUUUGAUA
Molecule: non-coding RNA, 1037 nt
Organism: Cherax quadricarinatus
Lineage: Eukaryota; Metazoa; Arthropoda; Malacostraca; Decapoda; Parastacidae
Source: RefSeq, a predicted model, not a curated record